This 65-nucleotide transfer RNA is filed under the name Ibidoecus plataleae. RNAcentral's name for it is "tRNA-Cys". Lineage: Eukaryota; Metazoa; Arthropoda; Insecta; Psocodea; Philopteridae. The record is from RNAcentral.
GGUUCUAUAGUUUAUUCAUAAAACAUUAAACUGCAAGUUUAAAGAAAGGCUUAUCCUUAGGGCCU